This 249-nucleotide unclassified non-coding RNA is filed under the name Hevea brasiliensis (rubber tree). The record is from RNAcentral. Lineage: Eukaryota; Viridiplantae; Streptophyta; Magnoliopsida; Malpighiales; Euphorbiaceae.
ACUUGCGUCUUCCUAAACAUUUUGCAAUCGCAAACGGUCUUACCAACAAGAAAUGUGAUCUGAUUGUAAGAGAUGAAAGACAAAGAUCAUGGAAUUUAAGGCUUGUUGCCUAUGAUUCAUGUGUCCGUGUAUAUGGUGAAUGGAGUAACUUCUGCAUUGUGAAUAACUUAAAAAAGGGAGAUUAUGUGACAUUUGAGAUCGUUCCUUAUGGAGAAAAAAUUUGCAUAUCUUCCCAUGGAUUUUGUAAAA